This 504-nucleotide ribosomal RNA is filed under the name uncultured bacterium. RNAcentral describes it as "bacterial SSU rRNA". It matches the Rfam family "Bacterial small subunit ribosomal RNA", at positions 30 to 511 of the family's 1533-position model. The record is from RNAcentral.
AGUGAACGCUGGCGGCAGGCCUAACACAUGCAAGUCGAGCGGCAGCGCGUCCGACCACCCUCGGGUGGUCGGAUGGCGGCGAGCGGCGGACGGGUGAGGAAUGCAUCGGAAUCUGCCUCGUUGUGGGGGAUAACGUAGGGAAACUUACGCUAAUACCGCAUACGACCUACGGGUGAAAGUGGGGGACCUUCGGGCCUCACGCGAUGAGAUGAGCCGAUGCCGGAUUAGCUAGUUGGCGGGGUAAAGGCCCACCAAGGCGACGAUCCGUAGCUGGUCUGAGAGGAUGAUCAGCCACACUGGAACUGAGACACGGUCCAGACUCCUACGGGAGGCAGCAGUGGGGAAUAUUGGACAAUGGGGGCGAACCCUGAUCGUGCGACGCCGCGUGCAGGACGAAGGUCUUCGGAUCGUAAACUGCUUUCGCAAGGGAAGAAAGGCGAACUGAUUAAGAGUUGGUUUGUCAGACGGUACCUUGUAAAGAAGCUCCGGCUAAGUCCGUGCCAG